Molecule: long non-coding RNA, 2349 nt
Filed under: Marmota monax (woodchuck)
Lineage: Eukaryota; Metazoa; Chordata; Mammalia; Rodentia; Sciuridae
Source: RNAcentral
CUGGAGAGUGGGCUCUGGCUUCGACACGCCCCCUGGGAACAGCGCCUUUUCGUUUCCUGACCAGUGCAGAGCCAGCAGAGCCGGUGACACCCCCACGCACUGCAGGCAGAGGAUGGUGGGACAGUCGGAGGAGGCUGCAAUGGGAUAUCGGACGUGACCCUCCCUCCUGCUUCUGGGCCAGGCAUCUGCUGGCACCCCAGACCCAAUCCCCUCUCUCUGCUGCCACCUGGGGACUGAGCUGUGACCCGCCGCUGUGGAGGUGGGGGCUCCCUCCCCAACCGUGUAUCAGGAGCAGGGUGGGCGCGGCAGGUUUGUUUCUGUCCAGCCAAGGUGGGUGGGGUGGGGUGUGCCAGGAGCCCACAGGCCCCCAGCCCAAACAAAUCAGAACAGCAGCAUAUGGUUGGCAGGGCCUUUGUUUGCCCAGAAGAAAGAUCUGGGAAGCUGCCAAGGUCCCAUCCUGGCCUGUCCCUGCCCAGCCUCAGAGCCUGGGGCAGCGGUCAGGUAGAAGGGCCUGGGCUGGAGACACCCUCAGUCAGUCUGGAGGAAGGGUCCCCAUGCUGCCCGGAAGCCAAGGUGCAGAGCAGAUGUUGGUGGCACAGUGCCGGUGAGGACUUCUGUGUCCAGGAUCCCCAGCAGGAGGUCAGCAGCCCAGGGACAGACAGCCUGGACCCAAGCACAGCCCUGCUCACUGCCUGGUUCUGUCAAGUCACAGCAUGGCUGUCCCCCUGUCCACAUGGAGAGCCCUAGCACACGGUGCUGGGGGAGCAGCAGAGGGCUCCUGGCUCCUGUCCACAGGGGCAAAGCCAGGCAGAGCUGCUUUGGCCAGGGAGUGUGGGUGCCCCAGGCCCCCAGCCCAAACAAAUCAGAACAGCAGCAUGUCCCCUGAGAAGUAGGGUACAGUUCAUGGGGCCUGGCUUCCCCAUAGGGGUUCCAGCUGAGGGGCUCUGCUGGGGUGGGCAGGAUGGAGCUAUGGAGGGCAGAUGUCACUGGUUGGCAGCAGUCUCUUGGCUGUGGGGUCUUCUAGGGGCCCACAGGAACAGGGGGACUUUCACCAGCAGGUGGGGCCUGAGCGCUUGCUGGGUCUGGCAGUGUGUGGUCCCUGGGCAGGUAGCCCCCAGGAGAGGCAGGAAUGGAGGGCAGAUCCUUGUAGCUGGGAAGCCACAGUGUGUGGUCUGGCCCCCGCCCCUCCCAGGAUGCUGGGGGAAGAUCCUCAACUCAGAUGACACCCUGCUGUCCCUCAGGCCCACCAUUCCUUCCUUGGGCUUCGUGGUACAGGUGAGGAGACCGAGGCUGUGGGGCUGGGCACUGAGCAUGGCAUGCGCCUUUCCUGUCACGGGGCAGCACAGUGUUCUGGCUGGGCCAGCCUCCCCCUCUGCAGAGCGGCCCGUGUGGGCCUUGCCGUGUUCAGCCAGCCUCAGGUCACCUGUGUUCUGGACUCUGGGCUGUGGCCUCGGCACCCCACCCCGCACACAGCCCCGGUCCAGCUGUCUGCCCUCCUCUGAGCUGCAGCUUGCCUCCUGCCCUGGGAGGCCUCUGGGCCACGCGGCUUCCCCCGCGCAGCCCACCUCCUCUCCUUUUGCCCACCUACCCAUCUUUUGACACUCUGUUCUCUCUCCCAGGAUAUGGGGUCCCAUCUGAGUUCCCCAAACCCAGUGAGGCUACCUCCCCAACUAGGCACAAGGACCAGGACCCAGGAGACCCGUCAGGGACUCACAGGCAAUUUUGAUUCCUUUUUAAAUCGGGAAAAGGCUGGGUGUGGGGGCACUCACCCGUAAUCCCAAAGACUCAGGAAGCUGAGGCAGGAGGCUAGCAAGUUUGACACCAGUCUGGGCAACAUAGCAAGACCCUGUCUUAAAAAAUAAAAAGGGUUGGGGAUGUGGCUCAGUGGUUAAGCACCCCUGGGUUCAAUCCUCAGUACAAAAAUAAUAACAAUAACAAUAAAAUCUGGGGGGGGGGCCUGAUCUUUCAGGGACAAUUAAGUGCUUUCAUAUGUAACAUUAAUAUACUUGUCUUUGUACCAACACAGCUGUAAAACGGGAUCGUCAAGAUGAGACGCCCAGCCAGGCACAGCCGAGCUCUUCCCACCCACGCCCACCGUGUGAUGUCACCCAGGGUGGGGGCCUUGCUGGACCGCCAGCCCUGGGGCUCUGAGGGUCUGGUCGCCCUGCUGAGGCAUGGGAGGAUGAGGGACCGCUCUCCAGGUCCUGUGGCGCUGAAGCCCCCAGGUGGCCCCCUGCUCUGCUGUCCUCCUCAGGGGCCGUCCAAGUCUCUCCCGGAGGCGAGGGCUCACCAAUCUGCUGGGACCCGGAGAGCAUUGGAGUGAUCCAAAGGCCCAGUAAACUGGCUAAU